Megalobrama amblycephala (Wuchang bream) is the source of this 1262-nucleotide long non-coding RNA. RefSeq lists it as uncharacterized. The record is from RefSeq and is a predicted model, not a curated record. The transcript is spliced from 3 exons. Lineage: Eukaryota; Metazoa; Chordata; Actinopteri; Cypriniformes; Xenocyprididae.
AAGGCCGGGAGCAUGUGGCCAUGUCUGGGCAGAAUCCACCGGUCAUGCAAAGAGGACGAUACACUGUAGCACUCAGCAGAAGAGGAAAAAUGGGAACAGAAAGAUAUGAACGAAGAUAUAUAUGUAUAUUAUAUAUAGCUCCAUUUUGAUUUGGACUGAGAUGCUGGGUGACAUCUCUCUGUUUUAUGAGGCAGCAAAUGGAAGAUUUUACACCUCUGCCACUGGAAAUGGUGCUGUUAAAGGAAAUGGAGGUAUGAGAGGGUUACUGGGUUUUCACCUGAGGUGUCAUAGUGCCUCUUUGAUCUACUGUAAAUCAAGCUCCUACAUCAAGGAGUAAAAAAGGGGCAGUUUGUGCAUAUUGGACUUGCGACAUGGCAGAAUGAGGAACCAUCUGGUCUAUUUAAAUGUGAGAAAGAUGUUCGAGUGAUAGAUGUGCUAGUCCUCUUCUGCUUGGCUGGCUUUCCUCCUUAUACUUCCUUGUCUACAGAUACGUGUCAACACAAAGAAUGAUUAUGGAAAGGAUAUCUACAUACAGGUAAGCAACAAGAAUGAUUUGCUCAACAUUGUCAACAUAAGCUCCGUUCUCUCUUCCUGAAGCAGCACGCCUUGCUGUGGCUGGUCAAAUGGAACCAAGUCAGGUGUUUCUGCGAGGUUUGGUCCCCUUCAACCAGCUACUGCGUCGUGAAUACAGCCAACCAAAGAUUAUAAGAGAGUUAUUCAGUAAAGUGUGCUUUUUUUUUUUUGUAACUUUAAUUGUACUAACCUUUUUUUUAAAAAAAUAAAAUAAAAUUCAAUAAAAUAUUUUACUCUUGCAAUGUUGUGUUCAUUUUCUCCUUUCUUAAUAGAAAUUAUCUUUUUCAUUCAAUAAUGAAUAUUCAAUAAUAUUGAAUGUCGACUUGUAUUGACUGUUUCUUAACACAUUUAGGUUUAAAAGUGCACUUCGUAAUAAUGUCAAAUUAAAGUUUUUCUUUAAAGUAGUCCUACAUUUUAAAUCUUUAUGUUUUAAUAAUCUUUUGUUAAUGUUUUAAAUCAUUGUUUUAAUAAUCUGAUACGCUUUCAGUAAGCGUACAAUAUGUUAUGGACUUCUCUAGGUUAUUGAUUUUUUGCUUAUUCUUUAUCUUGAGGGUGGUGGAUAAUAGCAGGCAGCCACUAUGACAACACGUUCACUUUAAAUGUAUUAUUGUACAGAUGCCCAUUUGCUCGCAAUUUGCUCGCCUUUUCUCAGGGGAACACAAAUGACAGGACGUACUACGCACUAUAAC